CAAAACAAAAUUACAUUUUAGAAAACAAAUUAACAAGAUGUGAAACACUUUUACAAACGCCAAAACAAAUUUACAAUCUAUAUCAACCGGAAAGGGAAUGUCCCAUCUCUGGGAUUGACCCGGAAGUGAAGCAAGAGCAAACAGUUGAAAU
This is a long non-coding RNA of Thalassophryne amazonica, 151 nucleotides long. RefSeq lists it as uncharacterized. Lineage: Eukaryota; Metazoa; Chordata; Actinopteri; Batrachoidiformes; Batrachoididae. The record is from RefSeq and is a predicted model, not a curated record. The transcript is spliced from 3 exons.